CCUACGGGAGGCAGCAGUGAGGAAUAUUGGUCAAUGGACGAGAGUCUGAACCAGCCAAGUAGCGUGAAGGAUGACUGCCCUAUGGGUUGUAAACUUCUUUUAUAUGGGAAUAAAAUGUUCCACGUGUGGGAUUUUGUAUGUACCAUAUGAAUAAGGAUCGGCUAACUCCGUACCAGCAGCCGCGGUAAUACGGAGGAUCCGAGCGUUAUCCGGAUUUAUUGGGUUUAAAGGGAGCGUAGGUGGAUUGUUAAGUCAGUUGUGAAAGUUUGCGGCUCAACCGUAAAAUUGCAGUUGAAACUGGCAGUCUUGAGUACAGUAGAGGGGGGCGGAAUUCGGUGUGUAGCGGUGAAAUGCUUAGAUAUCACGAAGAACUCCGAUGGCGAAGGCAGUUCACUGGACUGCAACUGACACUGAGGCUCGAAAGUGUGGGUAUCAAACAGGAUUAGAUACCCUAGUAGUC
Molecule: ribosomal RNA, 460 nt
Filed under: uncultured bacterium
Lineage: Bacteria
Description: partial 16S ribosomal RNA
Rfam family: Bacterial small subunit ribosomal RNA
Source: RNAcentral